CGUGUAUGGGCAACUCGCCUAUUCGACAUCAGGGCUGUGAAAAAAAAAAGCGUAACGCGGCGUCAUGAACACUACAGCUGCGAACGCGUAGAAGGUGGCGGUGAUGGUGGUGCUCAUUUUUCUUUGGGGGAGAGCGUAGGGCAACACUCCCUCACUCCCCGUGCGCGCCCACACGCACACACACAAAACAGGCGUUGCCUGUUGUCUUCUCACUGCGCUUCUUCUAUCCUCUCGCUGCCUUUUUGUGCACUGUGCGCUCCUCCACACUAUGGAUGGCGAUCUUUUUUCUCGCGCUCUCUCUCUCGCCUCGUUACCGCCCUCUCCGACGGUGUUGUAAGUGCUUGCGCUUGUUUUAGUGCUUCUAGCUGUCUCUGACAUCGUCUCAUCAUCUCUCGUGCCACAAUCGGUGGCUGGCAACUCUACACGACAACUGUGCACACGCCGACGAACCCGCCAUCCUUUACGUAUUUCGCCUUGCGCAAGUGCCUCGACGACCCAACUUUCUCCUCGACACCCUUGUCGGCUCUCCCUCUCCCCCUGAGUCUGUCUUUGCCUCGUGCUCGCCUUCGCGUUAUCGAUGCGCCUCCUUCAUUGGCGUUGGAGGCGCCCUUACUCAGCUUCGCCUUCUCUCUCACCUCUGCCAGGCCCUUUUUGUGCGUUGCUCGCCGGCGGUGCACGGGAGAUGGCGUGGUGCCUGUAGAAGCGCACCCGCACGCUCAUGCGCAGGCUGCAUUCGCCUUCGCUGUAGCCGCGUAUAUCGCCUGCACACUUUGCCCUCUACUUUAGCUCCUCUUCUGGACUCCUGCGUUUAGUUGCUCUUCCCUCCUUUCCAAACUCUAGUGACGUGUGUGGGGGGUGGGGUGGCGCAGGGGUGCAAGGGGCACCUCAGCGUGUGGCAUCUCAGGGUCCAGUGCGUCCCACUCCCUCUGUCUUGGGAAGCUAAGCCGCCGCCCUAUCCCUGCCACAUGCCGAACCCCACUUCUGGUGAUGCCGGGAUCGCGCAUCCACGGGGCAAGGAGCUGAGAGCAACGCACUCCUACGAACGUCCGGGGCCAGGUUCUGGAGGGCGUCUCGCCAGGGUGACCAGCGACCGCAAGCACGCUUGUGCCAUCCGUAUAAUGGGGAAAGGGCCCGCCUAACUGGGAGGUAUCUCACUCCCGACCCUCGCACUGCCUGCUGGUGUGCGAGGAGCCUGCGCCGCCCCGAGGAACGUGCCAGGUAGCCCAGUUGCACGAUGGGAGCGGCUGUGAGGCGACCUGCGGAGCGGCGUGGGUGUGUGGGCAGCGUUUGAGGCAGAGACCGUUCUCCGAUGACUGAGUCGGCGCAUUGUUGCAACGCCGGUGCCUAGCGCUGCUGCGCACCAUGCGAUGGGGGCCUAUGACAGGGCCGGGGCGUGGGGGGGGGAGGGAAGGUCGAGUGGCAUCGGGCUUGACGUUGUGUGCCAGAGAGAAAGCGGACACACGUUGGGAGACCAACCCAAACAAACCCUUUGCCAGCACAGUGCUUAGCUCUCUUUCACCUGCUCUCUUCUCCUGCCCCGCUUGCGCCUUCCCUCUCUAAG
This 1561-nucleotide unclassified non-coding RNA is filed under the name Leishmania donovani. Its description in RNAcentral is "gene:unknown". The record is from RNAcentral. Lineage: Eukaryota; Euglenozoa; Kinetoplastea; Trypanosomatida; Trypanosomatidae.